CGGGCUGUAGUAUACCGGUAGUACAUGCGCUUCGGGUGCGUAAAGACUGGGUUCGAUUCCCAGCAGCCCGACAA
This 74-nucleotide transfer RNA is filed under the name Candidatus Liptonbacteria bacterium RIFCSPHIGHO2_01_FULL_57_28. RNAcentral's name for it is "tRNA-Pro". It matches the Rfam family "tRNA". Rfam says of the family: Transfer RNA (tRNA) molecules are approximately 80 nucleotides in length. Their secondary structure includes four short double-helical elements and three loops (D, anti-codon, and T loops). The record is from RNAcentral. Lineage: Bacteria; Candidatus Liptoniibacteriota.